CUCCCUGGAAAGGGUUCUGCGGUGCCUUUACCUUCUGCUAACAGCAUGAACACGAAAGCAGGAAAAGAAAACAAAACAAGAAAAAGGAAAAAAAGAAUUUUUCAUAAAUAUUAGCAAGUUCAGAUGUAGAUGAAAUUCUAUCCCAGAAACGACAUAGACUCGCAUCUAGUCUAGCUCCGAAAAUAAAACCAUCUUGUAAAACCUUGGAAUAAAAUAAGAAAUCAAAAUUGAUAAAUGCAUAUUUAUAGAUGAGAUAUAAAACAACUGGGAAUUCUGCAAAUGUAUCCAGAAUACAAAAUUCACAAUCACCAUAUAAUCUAUAUCUACUUACAACAAUAAUCUCAAUCAACCAAGUCCAUCUCCAUUCCUCCUUCCAAUUGGCUAAAACGAAGAAAGAGGGUAUUCCUAUUCAUAUGCUUUAAGGUCAAUUUAUUGAAAAGAAAUGGGAAAAAAACAAAAUACUGUGAACAUAGCUUAAUCUGUGAACAAGGAAAUGAAGUAAAGGAGAAGAACUGGUUGCUCUAGUCAUUCAAAGUCAAGAAUCUGAAUGGCCCUCUGAAGUAUACGUGCUCGUAGAAGCUGAGCUUCCAUUGCCACCACGCCUCUUUGCAAAUCCAAUCAGUGAAGCAGCGUUCUUUACUUUCUGUGCGAACCCCUUGAAUAUCCUGGCCUUAAUCUGACCCCUUUGUGGAGGGAUUUUUACUAUUUUCGGCCUUUUUGGUGUCUCCUGAUUCUUAUCUUCUUCCAUUGUUUUGAACUGUUAAAGAAGUAAUAGAAACAGAACACAAACUCUGUUUUCAAAAGAAGGAAGAAACAGAGGUGAGACAAAGCUUAGGCCUGACAAAUAGAACAGAAGGUAUAGAGAGUUUUAUUUUUUUAGCCGAGUCACUGGAAAUAAGAAGGUUUAGUGGGGGGUAAGAGACCGGUGGUGCAUAUAUGUAGAGCUGAGAGGGAAUCACCUAACCCAGUUCAGUCAAAAGGAUUCACACAAAGUGUGAACAGAACUUUCACCAGAAAUAAAUGCUUAAAUUCAACUAUGGAAGUGGAAAUUCU
RNAcentral lists this long non-coding RNA (1053 nucleotides) under Populus trichocarpa (black cottonwood). Its description in RNAcentral is "long non-coding RNA (PTRI_LNC002617)". The record is from RNAcentral. Lineage: Eukaryota; Viridiplantae; Streptophyta; Magnoliopsida; Malpighiales; Salicaceae.